GAUGAACGCUGGCGGCGUGCUUAACACAUGCAAGUCGAACGAAGCAUUUAAGACAGAUUUUUUCGGAAUGAAGUUUUUUAUGACUGAGUGGCGGACGGGUGAGUAACGCGUGGGUAACCUGCCUCACACAGGGGGAUAGCAGUUGGAAACGACUGGUAAUACCGCAUAAGCGCACAGCUUCGCAUGAAGCGGUGUGAAAAACUCCGGUGGUGUGAGAUGGACCUGCGUCUGAUUAGGUAGUUGGUGAGGUAACGGCCCACCAAGCCGACGAUCAGUAGCCGACCUGAGAGGGUGACCGGCCACAUUGGGACUGAGACACGGCCCAGACUCCUACGGGAGGCAGCAGUGGGGAAUAUUACACAAUGGAGGAAACUCUGAUGCAGCGACGCCGCGUGAGUGAAGAAGUAUUUCGGUAUGUAAAGCUCUAUCAGCAGGGAAGACAGUGACGGUACCUGACUAAGAAGCUCCGGCU
This 472-nucleotide ribosomal RNA is filed under the name uncultured bacterium. RNAcentral describes it as "bacterial SSU rRNA". It matches the Rfam family "Bacterial small subunit ribosomal RNA", at positions 28 to 498 of the family's 1533-position model. The record is from RNAcentral.